GCUUAUUCUCAGGGCGGGGUGAAAUUCCCCACCGGCGGUAUCCCGAUGUGACUCGGGGAGCCCGCGAGCGCCCGACCCGGUAUUGCACCGGGACGGGGUCAGCAGAUCCGGUGAGAUGCCGGAGCCGACGGUCAUAGUCCGGAUGAAAGAGGAUAAGA
Molecule: regulatory RNA element, 158 nt
Organism: Aeromonas hydrophila subsp. hydrophila ATCC 7966
Lineage: Bacteria; Pseudomonadati; Pseudomonadota; Gammaproteobacteria; Aeromonadales; Aeromonadaceae
Rfam family: FMN riboswitch aptamer (RFN element)
About the family: The RFN element is a highly conserved domain that is found frequently in the 5'-untranslated regions of prokaryotic mRNAs that encode for flavin mononucleotide (FMN) biosynthesis and transport proteins. This element is a metabolite-dependent riboswitch that directly binds FMN in the absence of proteins.
Source: Rfam